GAUGAACGCUAGCGGCAGGCUUAACACAUGCAAGUCGAGGGGCAGCAUGAGGGUUAGCAAUAACCCUUGAUGGCGACCGGCGCAAGGGUGCGUAACGCGUGAGCAACUUGCCCGUUUCAGGGGGAUAACCGGUGGAAACGCCGACUAAUACCCCAUGGUGAUGGUUUGAGGCAUCUCUUUCCAUCUAAAGAAUUUCGGAAACGGAUAGGCUCGCGUGACAUUAGCUAGAUGGCGGGGUAACGGCCCACCAUGGCGACGAUGUCUAGGGGUUCUGAGAGGAAGGUCCCCCACACUGGAACUGAGACACGGUCCAGACUCCUACGGGAGGCAGCAGUGAGGAAUAUUGGUCAAUGGGCGGAAGCCUGAACCAGCCAAGUAGCGUGAAGGAUUACAGCCCUACGGGUUUUAAACUUCUUUUAUGCGAGAGUAAUGUGCGCUACGUGUAGCGUAUUGCAAGUAUCGCAUGAAUAAGCAUCGGCUAACUCCGUGCCAGCAG
RNAcentral lists this ribosomal RNA (496 nucleotides) under uncultured bacterium. RNAcentral's name for it is "bacterial SSU rRNA". It matches the Rfam family "Bacterial small subunit ribosomal RNA", at positions 28 to 514 of the family's 1533-position model. The record is from RNAcentral.